UUUUUCCGCUAAAACUUCAAAACACACUUUUUCCGUCCGAACCGCAAAAACGUAUUUUUCCGCCAAACCCAUAAAACGUAUUUUCCGCCAAAACCAUAAAAAUGCACUUUUUCUCGAAAACACAUAUUUCCUCAAAAACCGCAAAAAUAUUUUCAGCCAAAACCGUAAAAAUGCUAUUUUUCCGUCGAAACGUAAAAAAAUAUAUUUUAGUCAUUUUAUUAACAAGUCCACCUGGAUGCAGAUGAAAGUUAAUAAAUGAAAAACAAACGAACAUAGUUGCAUUCAGAUGGUCCAUCUGGAUGCAUAGACGAAAUGAAGAAACAAACGACACCCAGAUGUAGCAUCUGAAUAAGACAUCUAGAUGGACCAUCUGGAUGCAUCUUCCAGAUGUACAAACGAACAUGCCUUAAUACACUUAAAAUUAAGGAAAACUAUGGUCGAUAAUAACAAGAUUCUUAUCCGACGUCGUUUCACUUUAGCGGGCCAAUCGAGGCCAAUCGAGGAGUAAAAUUCAAAAGCCCAUUGGGCCCACCGUUUAACCGCUAAACGCAAUAGAUGACCGAAACAAAAGAGAUCUCUACUUCUUCUCUCCCCAUAAAGACGCAGAGAGCGAUAACUCGCCGCCGUUCAUUAACCUCCGGCGUGCAUCUACCAAACUCCAUCGACUUUGUCUUGUGUUAGAUAUCUAUUGCCGUAUCUACGGUUGAUUUGAUCCUUUGUUCGAAUCUUGGCAUUGAUGAUUUUUUGUAGCUAGUGAGUGAAAAUGGCCGGAGAAGGUGAGGAAGAUAUGCCUAGAGACGCUCUGAUUGUCAAGGCACAUCAGCAGCUCAUGUACUAAUAAACUUACUCUGGUCUCUUCACUCUGUGCGGCCUUGUUUUUUUUUCUCUUCUACCUAAUUUUUUUUUUAAUCAUUUUCGAGACCUUGUCGGAAUCUCAUGUAUGUGACUCUCAUUUAAAGCCGUUGAUUAUAUUGCU
This is a long non-coding RNA of Brassica rapa (field mustard), 976 nucleotides long. RefSeq lists it as uncharacterized. Lineage: Eukaryota; Viridiplantae; Streptophyta; Magnoliopsida; Brassicales; Brassicaceae. The record is from RefSeq and is a predicted model, not a curated record.